This 497-nucleotide ribosomal RNA is filed under the name uncultured bacterium. RNAcentral describes it as "partial 16S ribosomal RNA". It matches the Rfam family "Bacterial small subunit ribosomal RNA", at positions 28 to 507 of the family's 1533-position model. The record is from RNAcentral.
GACGAACGCUGGCGGCGUGCCUAAUACAUGCAAGUAGAACGCUGAAGAGAGGAGCUUGCUCUUCUUGGAUGAGUUGCGAACGGGUGAGUAACGCGUAGGUAACCUGCCUUGUAGCGGGGGAUAACUAUUGGAAACGAUAGCUAAUACCGCAUAACAAUGGAUGACACAUGUCAUUUAUUUGAAAGGGGCAAUUGCUCCACUACAAGAUGGACCUGCGUUGUAUUAGCUAGUAGGUGAGGUAAUGGCUCACCUAGGCGACGAUACAUAGCCGACCUGAGAGGGUGAUCGGCCACACUGGGACUGAGACACGGCCCAGACUCCUACGGGAGGCAGCAGUAGGGAAUCUUCGGCAAUGGGGGCAACCCUGACCGAGCAACGCCGCGGGAGUGAAGAAGGUUUUCGGAUCGUAAAGCUCUGUUGUAAGUCAAGAACGGGUGUGAGAGUGGAAAGUUCACACUGUGACGGUAGCCUACCAGAAAGGGACGGCUAACUACGUG